GACGAACCGUGCGAACGUUGUUCGGAAUCACUGGGCUUAAAGGGUGCGUAGGCGGGCUCGUUAGUCGGGGUGAAUCCACGGCCAACCGUGGAAGUGCCUCCGAUACUGCGAGUCUAGAGGGGAACAGGGGCAUGCGGAACUUCCGGGUGGAGCGGUGAAAUGCGUAGAGAUCGGAAAGAACACCAAGGCGGAAAGCACUCUGCUGGGCCGACACUGACACUGAGAGACGAAAGCUAGGGGAGCGAAUGGG
This 250-nucleotide ribosomal RNA is filed under the name uncultured bacterium. Its description in RNAcentral is "partial 16S ribosomal RNA". It matches the Rfam family "Bacterial small subunit ribosomal RNA", at positions 524 to 776 of the family's 1533-position model. The record is from RNAcentral.